AGGGUUUGAUCCUGGCUCAGAGUGAACGCUGGCGGCGUAGAUUAGGCAUGCAAGUCGAGCGAUCCUUGUUGCCAAGAGAGAUUGAAGUCUUCGGAUGGAUGUCUCUUGAGGUGACGCUGGAUAGCGGCAAACGGGUGAGGAACACGUGGGUAACGUACCGUUGUGGCGGGGCAUAGCCUCGAGAAAUCGAGGGUAAUUCCUCAUAAUCCCUUUAGCCUGGAAUGGUUUUAGGGAAAAGAUGGCCUCUACUUGUAAGCUGUCACCAUACGAGCGACCCGCGUCCUAUCAGGUAGUUGGUAGGGUAACGGCCUACCAAGCCUUAGACGGGUAGCUAGCGUAAGAGCGUGUUUAGCCACACCGGGACUGAGACACUGCCCGGACUCCUACGGGAGGCUGCAGUCGAGAAUCUUUCUCAAUGGGCGAAAGCCUGAAGAUGCGACGCCGCGUGGGGGAUGAAGGUUUUCGGAUUGUAAACCCCUUUUAUCGGGGAGGAAGGUUACUGGACUAAUACUCCAAGUAAAUUGACUGUACCCGAUGAAUAAGCCACGGCUAACUCCGUGCCAGCAGCCGCGGUAAUACGGAGGUGGCGAGCGUUACUCGGUAUGACUGGGUGUAAAGGGUCCGCAGGCGGCUUAGUAAGUGAAAGGUGAAAUCCUUCGGCUUAACCGGAGAACUGCCUUUCAAACUGCUUUGCUUGAGGCUGGAAGAGGAGAGCGGAACUGACGGUGUAAAGGUGAAAUUUGUGGAUAUCGUCAGGAACGCCUGUGGAGAAGUCGGCUCUCUGGUCCAGAUCUGACGCUCAGGGACGAAAGCUAGGGGAGCAAACAGGAUUAGAUACCCUGGUAGUCCUAGCUGUAAACGAUGGGCACUAGGUGCUUGUCCUUUAAGGAUGGGCGCCGUAGGUAACCCGCUAAGUGCCCCACCUGGGGACUACGGCCGCAAGGCUAAAACUCAAAGGAAUUGACGGGGGCCCGCACAAGCGGUGGAACACGUGGUUUAAUUCGAUGCUACGCGAGGAACCUUACCAGGGCUUGACAUGCAGGAAGUAGUAUCCCGAAAGGGAGUCCGACCGGUAACCAAUCCGGAACCUGUGCAGGUGCUGCAUGGUUGUCGUCAGCUCGUGCCGUGAGGUGUUCCCUUAAGUGGGAGAACGAGCGCAACCCUCGUUCUUAGUUGCAAUCUUUGAUGUUUCAUUAAAGAGCACUCUAAGAGGACUGCCCGCGUUAAGUGGGAGGAAGGUGGGGACGACGUCAAAUCCGCAUGGCCCUUAUGUCCUGGGCUACACACGUGUUACAAUGCCUAUUACAAUGGGAGGCUAAGUCGCGAGAUGGAGCAAAUCCCUAAAAAAUAGGCCCAGUUCGGAUUGAAGGCUGCAAUUCGCCUUCAUGAAGCUGGAAUCGCUAGUAAUGGCGUAUCAGCUACGACGCCGUGAAUACGUUCCCGGGCCUUGUACACACCGCCCGUCAAGCGCUGAAAGUGGGGGGCGCCCGAAGCCCCGACGUUCGUCGAGGUCACGGUGAACUUCAUGAUUGGCGCUAAGUCGUAACAAGGUA
Molecule: ribosomal RNA, 1553 nt
Filed under: metagenome
Description: bacterial SSU rRNA
Rfam family: Bacterial small subunit ribosomal RNA
Source: RNAcentral